UCAAACCCCUUCCUUCUAGGUUGCAAAUAGUUGCUUCAAGUCAACUUGAUUGUAGGAUUUGUGUUGCUAUAAUUGUACGAGUAAGUCAUUUAUAGGUAUUCUAAUAUUUAAUGCUUUAUAAAAUUUCUAAAGUUUACAAACCUCACCGUCACUCCCAUUUCACUUCUUGGUUUUCUCAAACUCUCUCUCUCCCCUCCUCUGCGUUCUUCAUCUCUGCUUUCUCAGUCUCUCUCUCUCUCUCUUCUUCCUCUCUUCCUCCAAAUCUCUCUCUCUCUCUCUCUCUCUCCAGUCUUCUCAUGUCAUCCUCGCGGAUUCCUUCUUUCAAACCAUGAUUUUCCCUCGCCCCUUUCGAAUCGGAACCCCAUCCAAAUUGGAAGAUUCUAAUCUGAAUUUUCCAAUCUCUCACAGGUAAUUUUUGAAUCAAAAUGAAUGUGAUUUAUAUUGUGGUUUUGGUGAAUUAAAAUGGGUUUUUCUUUUAAUUAUUUUGUUGGGGUUUUGGAUAUUGUUCAUAUUUUGGGGUUUUCCAUAUUUCUCAUAUUUGUUUGUCGUGUUUUUGAUAUUUUGUUUCUCAUUUGCCUUUUUUUUCUUUUUUUUUUUAUAUUUAUUUAUAUCUGAAGUAUAUAUUAAACAAAAGAUUGGGAUCAAAUAUCACAUUAACUUGAUUCGGGUUGAAAUUUCUUUCAACUUGUUUUGAUUAUAUUUACUUAGUGUUGCAUGCCAUUGGAGAUCUGACUGUAAUUUGGUUUUAUGUAGGUUUUGACUUGCAGUUUGUUUUGUUCAUGAUUUCUACAUGAAUGGACAAAAGAUUAAAAAUAAUAAUAAAAAAGAACUGAAACUGAACCGAACAAAAAUAAAAAAAAAGUUGAACCGAACCGAACCGAAUCAAACCGAAAAUUCGGUUUGGUUUCGAUUUUCGAUUUGGUUUCAGUUUUGACAAAAACCGAACCGAUUCAAAUCGAACCCACCCCUACCUGCUUCACAACUAUUUGUCAGUAAGUUCCUAACUUUGGUUUAUUCAAUUAUAUAUCAAGUUAAUAUUUUUAUGGGUUAAUCUCAGUUUACUACCUUUAUGUUUCUUAGUUUUCAACAUUUAUUACAUCAAGUUUUUUCAUCCCAGAGUGGUACCUGAAGUAAAAAUUUUGGGAAAGUUUCAUACAUCCGUCAAUGUUGUUGUUAAGUUAGCCUUUAAUUGAUGAUGUGGUGCCCAUGUGGAUAUUAAAAAAAUUUAAAAAUUUAAAAAAAUAGAAAUUAAAAAUACCAAAAAUAUAUAAUAAAAAAAUCUUCUUCUCUCCCCCUUUGAUCUCCACCAUUAGUAUCCCCUUUACCAGGACUCAAGGUCGAGUCCCUCCAGUUCGCGGAAGAAAUUCACCGACUCAUGACCAUUAAUAUCCCCUUUACCGUGCCGUCAAAGAACGCUAGCUCAUUCACUAUGCUUUUAGAACUUCCGCCGACCCAUGUUUCUCCACCUAUUGUUAGAACCUGACCCUCCCAACACACGCCCUGUGCCCAGUAACCCACUUUCGAUUCAGGCCUAAAUUUCCCUACAAAGCCCGCUCUAAUUGACCGCGCCGCCAAGUUCUCGAUCACCAUCGCCCUUGGAUCUCCACCAUCAGGAGCUCAUGCUGCUUCAUCUUUAGUUUUAGGGUUCUAAACGAGAAGUUGCAGAUGAAAUCUGACAUGGAUGUGACUGGGGGGCUGCGACGAGAAGAGCAAGGAGGGCUCCCGUUGAUUUGACCGCAAUCGACCGAGAAAAGAGAGAGGGGAUGGAAGAAAAUCCACCGCCAUCCUUCCCCACGCCAUUAACGCGAGCUUCCAUCACAUAGCAACCAUUCAUCUCCAUCACCAGUCGGUGAUUUCAUUGACAAUUGUACCUUUUGUCCUUCCCGAACUUAAGAGAGGUGAAAACAGAAAAAAGUGGAAGAGACAUAGAUGAGAAGAAGAAGGAAUGGAUGGGGUGGGUUGGUGGCAGAGAUGGUGGACAGUGGAAAGACUCUCCUCGUGAUGGUAGAGAUUAAAAGGGGAGAAAAUAAUAUUUCUUUUCUACUUUUUUUUUAAUUUUUAAUUUUUUAACCUUUUUUAUAUCCACAUGAUGUCCAGUUAUUGUCCACGUACGUGCCACGUCACCAGUUAACGGCUGACUUAAUAGCAACCUUAACGGAUGUAUGAAAUUGUCCCAAAAUUUUGAUUUCAACUACCACUCUGGGAUGAAAAAAACUUGAUGUACUAAAUGUUGAAAACCAAGAAACUUGAGAGUAGGAAACUGAGAUUAACCCUAUUUUUACAUUAAUUUUUUUUUCCUUUUUCAACUUUAACUUUAAUUUUAGUUUUGGUUUUUUUUAUUAUUAUUUUAAUUUAAUACUCGAUAAAUUGUAGACAAACUACAAUUUUGACGACAUAAACGAGUCGAUGAACAGCUACCUGGACAGGUUGUUUUACGAGCAGUACAAGCAGUGGAAGAGCGGCCGCCACAAACAUUUUGACUUGUUUGAUGAUCCAGAGGUCGCUCUAGAGAAGGAUUGCCUGCUAGAGUUAAAGGAUCAACCGGACGAGUGGGUGUGGCUCUACGACCAUUUUCUGGAGCCCGCCUAUGUGAAGAAGGCGAAGGCGAACAAGAUCAACUGAGAGAAGAAGACUCUUAUCCACCAUUCUGGUUCGAGACCAUUCUCCUAUAGGAUGAGGGCGCAACGACAAGCAAUGAGUGUGUUUAAUAUUCACACUUCCAAUUUCUUACAAAUAUUCAAUUUAUUUUCUGUUGUCUUAAUGUUUUUUUUUUUUUUUCGUUUUUUGUUUCAGGGAUUCUAAAUUCCUCAAGAUAGACGUCUUUAAGGAUGUUUAUGUUCGGCCAAAGGAUGAGCUUGCCAAAAGUUGCACGUGACAAUGGUGGAGAGAAGCCAGACCAUCCUUCAGGAGUCUGCCUCCUAGCUUCCCCUGGACACUUCUAUCGAGUCCAUGGCUCCACCCGAGGAUGCAGGGUUUUGAGAUCUUGACUGAGACCUUGGAUGCGACCCUCGAGUGGAGGCCAGGGAAGUAUUGACGGAGGAAGGGGCAGGCUCGUCAACGCGCUACUGGGGCCUCAUCAUCAUCGCAACCACAAGGCCUUGGCAUCACUAAAUUGACGCAUGAGGUGGCUAACUUGAGGAGUAAGCUCGCGUUGAUCGUUAAGACCUUCAACUCGAACGGCAUCUAUCUCCCACCCGGCAUUGCAAUCCCCUUCACCUCCAAGCCACAAAACCAGUCGACCUCCGAGCUCAUCCACGAGCCCGACCGUCAUCCUCCCCAACACGCUAACUCGCAGCCCGUUCAGCAGCCAAACUUCCAGCCCGACCAACAAACUACCCCAUUUAAUAACCAAAUAGAUUAUAGGUUUCUUUUUUCUUAGUUUUAAACGUUUUACUUGUACGUACAUUUUUAUUUGAUAUAUAAAUGUUAUUUUUUUUCCUCCAUUCAUU
Long non-coding RNA from Pyrus x bretschneideri (Chinese white pear), 3449 nucleotides. RefSeq lists it as uncharacterized. NCBI's taxonomy places the organism in Eukaryota, Viridiplantae, Streptophyta, Magnoliopsida, Rosales, Rosaceae. The record is from RefSeq and is a predicted model, not a curated record. The transcript is spliced from 3 exons.